This 679-nucleotide ribosomal RNA is filed under the name uncultured Sulfitobacter sp. Its description in RNAcentral is "bacterial SSU rRNA". It matches the Rfam family "Bacterial small subunit ribosomal RNA", at positions 154 to 868 of the family's 1533-position model. Lineage: Bacteria; Pseudomonadati; Pseudomonadota; Alphaproteobacteria; Rhodobacterales; Roseobacteraceae. The record is from RNAcentral.
AAACUGAGAGUAAUACCGUAUAAGCCCUUCGGGGGAAAGAUUUAUCGGGAAAGGAUUGGCCCGCGUUAGAUUAGAUAGUUGGUGGGGUAAUGGCCUACCAAGUCUACGAUCUAUAGCUGGUUUUAGAGGAUGAUCAGCAACACUGGGACUGAGACACGGCCCAGACUCCUACGGGAGGCAGCAGUGGGGAAUCUUAGACAAUGGGCGAAAGCCUGAUCUAGCCAUGCCGCGUGAGUGAUGAAGGUCUUAGGAUCGUAAAGCUCUUUCGCUAGGGAUGAUAAUGACAGUACCUAGUAAAGAAGCCCCGGCUAACUCCGUGCCAGCAGCCGCGGUAAUACGGAGGGGGCUAGCGUUGUUCGGAAUUACUGGGCGUAAAGCGUACGUAGGCGGAUCAGAAAGUAUGGGGUGAAAUCCCAGGGCUCAACCCUGGAACUGCCUCAUAAACUCCUGGUCUUGAGUUCGAGAGAGGUGAGUGGAAUUGCGAGUGUAGAGGUGAAAUUCGUAGAUAUUCGCAGGAACACCAGUGGCGAAGGCGGCUCACUGGCUCGAUACUGACGCUGAGGUACGAAAGUGUGGGGAGCAAACAGGAUUAGAUACCCUGGUAGUCCACACCGUAAACGAUGAAUGCCAGACGUCGGGCAGUAUACUGUUCGGUGUCACACCUAACGGAUUAAGCAUC